AGUGGCGGACGGGUGAGUAACGCGUGAGAAUCUGGCUUUAGGUCUGGGACAACCACUGGAAACGGUGGCUAAUACCGGAUGUGCCCUUUGGGGUGAAAGGUUAACUGCCUGAAGAUGAGCUCGCGUCUGAUUAGCUAGUAGGUGUGGUAAAGGCGCACCUAGGCGACGAUCAGUAGCUGGUCUGAGAGGACGAUCAGCCAUACUGGGACUGAGACACGGCCCAGACUCCUACGGGAGGCAGCAGUGGGGAAUUUUCCGCAAUGGGCGAAAGCCUGACGGAGCAAUACCGCGUGAGGGAGGAAGGCUCUUGGGUCGUAAACCUCUUUUCUCAGGGAAGAACACAAUGACGGUACCUGAGGAAUAAGCAUCGGCUAACUCCGUGCCAGCAGCCGCGGUAAUACGGAGGAUGCAAGCGUUAUCCGGAAUGAUUGGGCGUAAAGCGUCCGCAGGUGGCUAUGUAAGUCUGCUGUUAAAGAAUCUAGCUCAACUAGAUACAAGCAGUGGAAACUACAAGGCUAGAGUACGUUCGGGGCAGAGGGAAUUCCUGGUGUAGCGGUGAAAUGCGUAGAGAUCAGGAAGAACACCGGUGGCGAAGGCGCUCUGCUAGGCCGUAACUGACACUGAGGGACGAAAGCUAGGGGAGCGAAUGGGAUUAGAUACCCCAGUAGUCCUAGCCGUAAACGAUGGAUACUAGGCGUGGCUUGUAUCGACCCGAGCCGUGCCGUAGCUAACGCGUUAAGUAUCCCGCCUGGGGAGUACGCCGGCAACGGUGAAACUCAAAGGAAUUGACGGGGGCCCGCACAAGCGGUGGAGUAUGUGGUUUAAU
Molecule: ribosomal RNA, 826 nt
Filed under: uncultured Nostoc sp.
Lineage: Bacteria; Bacillati; Cyanobacteriota; Cyanophyceae; Nostocales; Nostocaceae
Description: bacterial SSU rRNA
Rfam family: Bacterial small subunit ribosomal RNA
Source: RNAcentral